GAUGAACGCUGGCGGCGUGCCUAAUACAUGCAAGUCGAGCGAACAGACGAGGAGCUUGCUCCUCUGACGUUAGCGGCGGACGGGUGAGUAACACGUGGAUAACCUACCUAUAAGACUGGGAUAACUUCGGGAAACCGGAGCUAAUACCGGAUAAUAUAUUGAACCGCAUGGUUCAAUAGUGAAAGACGGUUUUGCUGCCACUUAUAGAUGGAUCCGCGCCGCAUUAGCUAGUUGGUAAGGUAACGGCUUACCAAGGCAACGAUGCGUAGCCGACCUGAGAGGGUGAUCGGCCACACUGGAACUGAGACGCGGUCCAGACUCCUACGGGAGGCAGCAGUAGGGAAUCUUCCGCAAUGGGCGAAAGCCUGACGGAGCAACGCCGCGUGAGUGAUGAAGGUCUUCGGAUCGUAAAACUCUGUUAUUAGGGAAGAACAAAUGUGUAAGUAACUAUGCACGUCUUGACGGUACCUAAUCAGAAAGCCACGGCUAACUACGUG
This 497-nucleotide ribosomal RNA is filed under the name uncultured bacterium. Its description in RNAcentral is "partial 16S ribosomal RNA". It matches the Rfam family "Bacterial small subunit ribosomal RNA", at positions 28 to 507 of the family's 1533-position model. The record is from RNAcentral.